AGUCACUUGGGAAUAGUUCCUGAUGGCAUUCAAUGCAGAGUACCUCCCAGAGCACCUCAAGUGUUUAAAGGAUAUAGAGUUUGCACACCUAAUACAGGGUGAGAUGACUGUGUCGAAGUAUGCUCGAAGGUUUCUAGAGUUGGGUUGAUAUUCCCCUGAGAGCAUGAUUGAUGAGGGCAGGAAGGCAAGGAAGUUUGAGUGGGGCCUCCACCCUAAGAUCUGGCAAGGAAGGAACCUUCGCAUCUUUUCUCUAGCAUCGGGGAAUCCCAAACCCCUAGUUUCAUACCGCAAACCAACACCCACUGCACCGGUUCAGCAGAAGAAGGGGUCUAGGCUAAUGACUCAGCCUCCUCCUCAGGCUCUAGUAAUAGGCCAUGGUAGGACUUGUUAGUACUGUGGCAAUGAU
RNAcentral lists this long non-coding RNA (406 nucleotides) under Carica papaya (papaya). Its description in RNAcentral is "long non-coding RNA (CPAP_LNC014586)". Lineage: Eukaryota; Viridiplantae; Streptophyta; Magnoliopsida; Brassicales; Caricaceae. The record is from RNAcentral.